AAUCUUCCGCAAUGGGCGAAAGCCUGACGGAGCGACGCCGCGUGGGUGAAGAAUGCCGAGAGGUUGUAAAACCCUUUUCUCAUAGAAGAAUAAGUUUCAGAGGUAAUGCUGGAGCGAUGACGUUAUAUGAGGAAUAAGCACCGGCCAAUUACGUGCCAGCAGCCGCGGUAACACGUAAGGUGCGAGCGUUGUUCGGAAUUAUUGGGCGUAAAGGGCUCGUAGGCGGCCUGCCAAGUUCCACGUGAAAGACCAGGGCUCAACCCUGGGAGCGCGAGGAAAACUGGCAAGCUGGAAUCUUGGAGGGGUACUGGAAUUCCUAGUGUAGGGGUGAAAUCUGUUGAUAUUAGGAAGAACACCGGAGGCGAAGGCGAGUACCUGGCCAAAGAUUGACGCUGAUGAGCGAAAGCGUAGGGAGCGAACAGGAUUAGAUACCCUGGUAGUCUACGCCGUA
Molecule: ribosomal RNA, 451 nt
Filed under: uncultured marine bacterium
Lineage: Bacteria
Description: bacterial SSU rRNA
Rfam family: Bacterial small subunit ribosomal RNA
Source: RNAcentral